RNAcentral lists this ribosomal RNA (1333 nucleotides) under uncultured bacterium. RNAcentral describes it as "partial 16S ribosomal RNA". It matches the Rfam family "Bacterial small subunit ribosomal RNA", at positions 28 to 1393 of the family's 1533-position model. The record is from RNAcentral.
GAUGAACGCUGGCGGAGUGCCUAACACAUGCAAGUCGAGCGGCAGCGCGAAUAGUUUACUAUUUGGCGGCGAGCGGCGGACGGCUGAGUAACGCGUGGGAACAUACCCCAAAGUGAGGAAUAACUGCCCGAAAGGGUAGCUAAUGCCGCAUAUGAUCUUCGGAUUAAAGCUUUCGAGCGCUUUGGGAAUGGCCUGCGUACGAUUAGAUAGUUGGUGAGGUAAUGGCUCACCAAGUCGACGAUCGUUAACUGGUUUGAGAGGAUGAUCAGUCAGACUGGAACUGAGACACGGUCCAGACUCCUACGGGAGGCAGCAGUGAGGAAUCUUCCACAAUGGGCGAAAGCCUGAUGGAGCAACUCCGCGUGCAGGAUGAAGGCCUUCGGGUUGUAAACUGCUUUUAUUAGUGAAGAAUAUGACGGUAACUAAUGAAUAAGGAUCGGCUAACUCCGUGCCAGCAGCCGCGGUAAUACGGAGGAUCCGAGCGUUAUCCGGAAUUAUUGGGUUUAAAGGGUGCGUAGGCGGGAUAAUAAGUCAGAGGUGAAAGACAGCGGCUCAACCGUUGCAGUGCCUUUGAAACUGUUAUUCUUGAAUGCGGACGAAGGAGGCGGAACGGGACAAGUAGCGGUGAAAUGCAUAGAUAUGUCCCAGAACCCCGAUUGCGAAGGCAGCUUCCUAGGCCGUUAUUGACGCUGAUGCACGAAAGCGUGGGGAUCGAACAGGAUUAGAUACCCUGGUAGUCCACGCCCUAAACGAUGAUAACUCGAUGUUGGCGUUAUACUGUCAGUGUCCAAGCGAAAGCGUUAAGUUAUCCACCUGGGGAGUACGAUCGCAAGAUUGAAACUCAAAGGAAUUGACGGGGGCCCGCACAAGCGGAGGAGCAUGUGGUUUAAUUCGAUGAUACGCGAGGAACCUUACCCGGGCUUGAAAGUUAGCGACUGAUCUAGAGACGGAUCAUCCCUUCGGGGCGCGAAACUAGGUGCUGCAUGGCUGUCGUCAGCUCGUGCCGUGAGGUGUUGGGUUAAGUCCCGCAACGAGCGCAACCCCUAUGUUUAGUUGCCAGCAUUUUAAGGUGGGGACUCUAAACAGACUGCCUGCGCAAGCAGUGAGGAAGGCGGGGACGACGUCAGGUCAGUAUUUCUCUUACGUCCUGGGCUAGAAACGUGAUACAAUGGCAAGUACAAUGCGCAGCGAAGCCGCGAGGUGAAGCAAAUCGCAUCAAAGCUUGUCCCAGUUCGGAUUGGAGGCUGAAACUCGCCUCCAUGAAGUCGGAAUCGCUAGUAAUCGCAGGUCAGCAAACUGCGGUGAAUACGUUCCCGGGUCUUGUACACACCGC